This 361-nucleotide unclassified non-coding RNA is filed under the name soil metagenome. RNAcentral describes it as "partial contains 5.8S ribosomal RNA, internal transcribed spacer 2, and large subunit ribosomal RNA". The stretch from base 2 to 119 matches the Rfam family "5.8S ribosomal RNA", at positions 37 to 154 of the family's 154-position model. The record is from RNAcentral.
GUGAAGAACGCAGCGAAAUGCGAUAAGUAGUGUGAAUUGCAGAAUUCAGUGAAUCAUCGAAUCUUUGAACGCACCUUGCGCUCCUUGGUAUUCCGAGGAGCAUGCCUGUUUGAGUGUCAUUAAUAUAUCAACCUUCUCUUUUUUGAGUUGUUUGGAUGUGGGGGUUUGCUGGCCUCUUAAAUGAUUCAGCUCCCCUGAAAUGCAUUAGCAGAACAACCUGUUCAUUAGCGUGAUAAUUAUCUAUGCUAUUGAAUGUGAGGGCAGUUCAGCUUUCUAACCGUCCUUGGACAAUUCAUCAUUAAUGUGACCUCAAAUCAGGUAGGACUACCCGCUGAACUUAAGCAUAUCAAUAAGCGGAGGA